Molecule: long non-coding RNA, 1322 nt
Filed under: Cyanistes caeruleus (blue tit)
Lineage: Eukaryota; Metazoa; Chordata; Aves; Passeriformes; Paridae
Description: lncRNA (ENSCCEG00000011088.1)
Source: RNAcentral
CCAGAAGAAAAAAUUAGCUGAGUAAAUUUAGUAUCAGUGGUGUUAUGUUAGUCUCUAUUACCUGAACAUUUAGUAUUUGCCCACUUUGAUUUUACAAACAUAUAAGCAUCCCUUCCAAAGUGUAGAUGUCCUUAAAAAUAGCUAUUGGGGAUUGUCAAUAAAUAUACAAAAAGCAAGUCCAAAAAUAAUUCUUCUGCCCUAAAGAAGUAUCUGUCCAUUUGACUGAUAUUUUAUCUUUCAAUAUUCACAAACCACACCUCCUGAAAUACAAGUUUAUAUCAAAGGACUCUGAUCUUUAAAGUUCACCAAACUACUUCUCAAGGAGUAAUGCAAGGCAGGGUAAAUUUAACCUUUGCUAAAACCCCUCAGAAUCUGAAGUAUAAAUUAAAUGGGCCCUAGCACAUGGAGAGGGAGAAGCCAAGUCUAAAACCACUUUUUUUUUUUUUUUUAAUUGUAAAGGGCUAAUAGAGUUCAUUAUUUCCCAUCUGACAUAAUUUUUUGGUUAUCCAUGCAAAAUUCUCAUUAGUUGCAAGACAGCCCUUUAAAUAGCAUAUGUUGUCCCAGUCAGAUGAGGAAGGUUUGUAAAAGAAAGUUGUGUCUAAUAAAUAUCAUUUUUCCCUAACAGAUUCGGACAUUGCUGAACUCGAGCAUGUAGGAGCAGAUGAUCCAACUGAGAUUAUCACAGGAAGUCCAAGAGGAAUUUAAUCCAAUCCUUUGAACUUUCAAGAGCAAACGCAACUGAGACUGAUUUUGAAGGAAGCGCUCUUAUUGAAGAAGAUACUGUGUUCUAGAAAAUCCUGACCAGUCAAAAUUUCCCCCUCCCGGGCAAAAGAGUGGAACAGAGGUCUUGGGUCCAAAAUAGCAAAAUGCAUGCACUCCACAACAGGACAACUUUCCCUCAUCAGUGCACUGCUCUGCAGAGGCUUUCAGAAAGAAGUAUUUCAGCUUCACUACUUUCCCCUGACCACUGGGAUGUUCAGAAGAGAAGCAUUUGAACUGGUACCUUGGAGUCCACAGGAAGGAUUAUUGUCUCGCAUUUCACCCUGAAAACAAGACUCUCACAUAGUACUGAAGAUGAAGCUGACAACUGUCAACUGCUGCAAGAACAAGUCUUCAUGAAGUCUAGCUCUACCAAAAUUACUGAUUUGCUGCAUAUCUACAGCCUUGUCUUUUUACCGGCACUGUAGGCUGAUGGUGUAUCUUUUAAGAGAACUCUUGUACUGUAUUUACUUUAGACCUUAGCAUUUUGUCUCCUUUGUUGGGGUGGACCUGUCUGAAAUUAAAAUUCUUGAGAAUAAAACACCAAGGAACACGGGAAGUCA